CGUAUAGGUUUCUGGUUUUCUUUUUUCUCUCCCCACCCACAAACCAACCAGUGCGCCGCCUUUUCCUGCGAUGGAGCAAUGGACGGCCCAGGCGACGUGCGUCCCGGUGGCGGCGAACUCGGCGCGGAGCAGGAGCGUGUAGGGGACGGCGACCUUGGGGAUGGGGCAGGCGCGUGCCCGCGGCGGCAACAGCGGGGCAAACGCGGGCCGGCAGCAGCGACCACGGGUCGGGACAGGAGCGUGCCCGGGACUGCGCCCUUGGGGCGGAGAAGGCGCGGGCCUUGGACGGCCACCUUGGGGCGGUGGCGGCGCGGUCCUGGGGCGGAGCACGCAUGGGCCAGCGGCGGGAACGCUGACGGAGCAGGCAGGGGCCAGCGGCCACCACAUCGGGGUGGAGCAUGCAGGGGCCGGCGGCGUCCAUGUCUGGCGGAGUAGGCAGGGCCCGACGACGGAGGAAAACGGCAGUGGCCGGAUCAGGAAGAAGGCACGAGGUUGCAAUAUCGUUGCUUUCAUCGGUUCAUUCAGCUGCAUACUUCUGUGUGAGCCUGAACCUGGCUCAAGAAGAUUGAGGUGCAUGACAUGAAUUUGGAGAUUUAGCAGGGUCGAUGCUGGUAUUCAGGAUUUAAAUGACAUUUUGGUUCAUUUUUAGAGAUGCACGCCUGAACUUGGCAGAGCGAGACUAGGUAAGAUCUUCCGUGAAGGUGCUCAUGCAUUCAUUUGAUCCCAUCUGGAUAGUAUGCAUGUUACCGUGGAGCAACUCUGUGUAAACCAAAGCAUGAUUAGAAGAGCAGUUGUGCAAGCACGGAGAGCUUUUCGACAAGAUUGUCGCUAGAGGCAACUACAAGAUUGCGAUCAUGGUAGACCAGGGGUUUCGUGCUACCUUUUAUGGGUUUGCUGCAAGGGAGUCUUCUGCUACUCAUUCUUCUAUGGAUACGGAUGCUUGGAAGAGCACAAUUCUUUUUGAAGUAAGCACAUGUUAUCGGUCUUUUUGGAUCAACAAUCACCGGAGUGAAUUAAUUUUUCCAACAACAAUUGACAACUUAUGUACAAAUGUUGCUUGGUUGGUUCAUGCUGAAUGUGAUGCUGCCUCUACAUACAAGCGUGAGGGUGUCGAUGCAAGCAACAUGGAUGCUGAUGUGGGCUAACACGGUGGAGAUUAGGCACAAGAGCUUUCUAGUGAAUCUAAGAUCACGAGCAGGUAGUGCAUCACGGUGGAGGCUAUUCGAAGAAUACCGGCACAGGAACACUGCUCUUGCUGCUGGCGUCACCACUGCGUCCAUCUCUACAUAGGAUCGUAGUAGGUUCCAGGGGCCAGAGCACCUUUGCACCAAUUAGGUUCAAAUUCAUUUUGACUAAAGAACUUUUCUCUUGGUCUCAAAUAUCACUUACAUUUUAUAAAUUUCUUGCUCAUACUGUUGUAAGAGGUGAAGAAGCACUAUUCUGAAUUGUGGCUUCAGAAGAUGUCUAUGCCAGCAAGGUUGACAGAGGUCGUGUGUGUGGCUGCAGCAACCACAUCUCCGUUAUAUGCUAUUCCUUUUGCA
Molecule: non-coding RNA, 1541 nt
Organism: Lolium perenne
Lineage: Eukaryota; Viridiplantae; Streptophyta; Magnoliopsida; Poales; Poaceae
Source: RefSeq, a predicted model, not a curated record